RNAcentral lists this ribosomal RNA (872 nucleotides) under uncultured bacterium. Its description in RNAcentral is "bacterial SSU rRNA". It matches the Rfam family "Bacterial small subunit ribosomal RNA", at positions 20 to 906 of the family's 1533-position model. The record is from RNAcentral.
UGGCUCAGGACGAACGCUGGCGGCGUGCUUUACACAUGCAAGUCGAGCGGUAAGGCCCUUCGGGGUACACGAGCGGCGAACGGGUGAGUAACACGUGAGCAAUCUGCCCUUCACUUUGGGAUAACCACCGGAAACGGUGGCUAAUACCGAAUAUGACCACUUCCUGCAUGGGAUGGUGGUGGAAAGUUCCGGCGGUGGAGGAUGAGCUCGCGGCCUAUCAGCUUGUUGGUGGGGUAAUGGCCUACCAAGGCAACGACGGGUAGCCGGCCUGAGAGGGUGACCGGCCACACUGGGACUGAGACACGGCCCAGACUCCUACGGGAGGCAGCAGUGGGGAAUAUUGGACAAUGGGCGAAAGCCUGAUCCAGCAACGCCGCGUGAGGGAUGACGGCCUUCGGGUUGUAAACCUCUUUCAGUACCGACGAAGCGCAAGUGACGGUAGGUACAGAAGAAGCACCGGCCAACUACGUGCCAGCAGCCGCGGUAAUACGUAGGGUGCGAGCGUUGUCCGGAAUUAUUGGGCGUAAAGGGCUCGUAGGCGGUUUGUCGCGUCGGGAGUGAAAACACGGGGCUUAACCCCGUGCCUGCUUCCGAUACGGGCAGACUAGAGGUAUGCAGGGGAGAACGGAAUUCCUGGUGUAGCGGUGAAAUGCGCAGAUAUCAGGAGGAACACCGGUGGCGAAGGCGGUUCUCUGGGCAUUACCUGACGCUGAGGAGCGAAAGUGUGGGGAGCGAACAGGAUUAGAUACCCUGGUAGUCCACACCGUAAACGUUGGGCGCUAGGUGUGGGACUCAUUCCACGAGUUCCGUGCCGCAGCUAACGCAUUAAGCGCCCCGCCUGGGGAGUACGGCCGCAAGGCUAAAACUCAAAU